Haliotis rubra (blacklip abalone) is the source of this 457-nucleotide long non-coding RNA. RefSeq lists it as uncharacterized. Lineage: Eukaryota; Metazoa; Mollusca; Gastropoda; Lepetellida; Haliotidae. The record is from RefSeq and is a predicted model, not a curated record. The transcript is spliced from 2 exons.
AAAGAAAAGAAAGCAACAAUAUAUUUUCAGACGCUGUGGCAGUCUAGACUUGUCACAUAUUGAAGACUUGUAUGUGACAGGACAGGUACACACUUCAGUUUGCCCGGUACUUCACGGACAGGUACACACUUCAGUUUGCCCGGUACUUCACGGACAGGUACACACUUCAGUUUGCCCAGUACUUCGCGUACAGGUACACACUUCAGUUUGCCCAGUACCUCACGGACAGGUACACACUUCAGUUUGCCCAGUACUUCACGGACAGGUACACACUUCAGUUUGCCCAGUACUUCACGGACAGGUACACACUUCAGUUUGCCCAGUACUUCACGUACAGGUACACACUGCGGACAAGCAAUAUAGUCUGCAAUACGGCAUUUUCCCUCCGUACUUUAUUCAUGAUAAGUUAUUAUUUUAACUCUGUUAUCAUAUUUCAGUAUUAAAUGUAUUUUUCACA